GGGCGUAUGGCUCAGUUGGUUAGAGCGUUCGGUUCACAUCCGAAAGGUCGCAGGUUCAAGUCCUGCUACGCCCA
Molecule: transfer RNA, 74 nt
Filed under: Planctomycetaceae bacterium
Lineage: Bacteria; Pseudomonadati; Planctomycetota; Planctomycetia; Planctomycetales; Planctomycetaceae
Also listed under: 1 other name
Description: tRNA-Val
Rfam family: tRNA
About the family: Transfer RNA (tRNA) molecules are approximately 80 nucleotides in length. Their secondary structure includes four short double-helical elements and three loops (D, anti-codon, and T loops). Further hydrogen bonds mediate the characteristic L-shaped molecular structure. tRNAs have two regions of fundamental functional importance: the anti-codon, which is responsible for specific mRNA codon recognition, and the 3' end, to which the tRNAs corresponding amino acid is attached (by aminoacyl-tRNA synthetases). tRNAs cope with the degeneracy of the genetic code in two manners: having more than one tRNA (with a specific anti-codon) for a particular amino acid; and 'wobble' base-pairing, i.e. permitting non-standard base-pairing at the 3rd anti-codon position.
Source: RNAcentral